AAGUCGUAACAAGGUUUCCGUAGGUGAACCUGCGGAAGGAUCAUUCAUAACAAGUGUCCUACUGCACUUUUUAAACAAGUACUCACCUUGUGUGAAAUGUUCGUGCUACACGCGUCGCGUCAGUGACGCGUCAUGCGCAUAAUACCAACUUUUUGAUUGCAAUUUUUUAGUCUGAAGCUAUUUUGAAUGAAAUAAUUCUAAAUACAA
RNAcentral lists this unclassified non-coding RNA (207 nucleotides) under plant metagenome. Its description in RNAcentral is "partial contains small subunit ribosomal RNA and internal transcribed spacer 1". The stretch from base 1 to 46 matches the Rfam family "Eukaryotic small subunit ribosomal RNA", at positions 1786 to 1831 of the family's 1831-position model. The record is from RNAcentral.